AGAGAGCUUGCUUCUCUUGAGAGCGGCGGACGGGUGAGUAAUGCCUAGGAAUCUGCCUGGUAGUGGGGGAUAACGUUCGGAAACGGACGCUAAUACCGCAUACGUCCUACGGGAGAAAGCAGGGGACCUUCGGGCCUUGCGCUAUCAGAUGAGCCUAGGUCGGAUUAGCUAGUUGGUGGGGUAAUGGCUCACCAAGGCGACGAUCCGUAACUGGUCUGAGAGGAUGAUCAGUCACACUGGAACUGAGACACGGUCCAGACUCCUACGGGAGGCAGCAGUGGGGAAUAUUGGACAAUGGGCGAAAGCCUGAUCCAGCCAUGCCGCGUGUGUGAAGAAGGUCUUCGGAUUGUAAAGCACUUUAAGUUGGGAGGAAGGGCCAUUACCUAAUACGUGAUGGUUUUGACGUUACCGACAGAAUAAGCACCGGCUAACUCUGUGCCAGCAGCCGCGGUAAUACAGAGGGUGCAAGCGUUAAUCGGAAUUACUGGGCGUAAAGCGCGCGUAGGUGGUUUGUUAAGUUGGAUGUGAAAUCCCCGGGCUCAACCUGGGAACUGCAUUCAAAACUGACUGACUAGAGUAUGGUAGAGGGUGGUGGAAUUUCCUGUGUAGCGGUGAAAUGCGUAGAUAUAGGAAGGAACACCAGUGGCGNNNNNGACCACCUGGACUGAUACUGACACUGANNNNCGAAAGCGNNNNGAGCAAACAGGAUUAGAUACC
Molecule: ribosomal RNA, 717 nt
Filed under: Pseudomonas sp. V1B2-13
Lineage: Bacteria; Pseudomonadati; Pseudomonadota; Gammaproteobacteria; Pseudomonadales; Pseudomonadaceae
Description: bacterial SSU rRNA
Rfam family: Bacterial small subunit ribosomal RNA
Source: RNAcentral